CGCCGAUGGUACCUGGCCUUCGGGCCCGGGAGAGUAGGUCGCCGCCGGAU
RNAcentral lists this ribosomal RNA (50 nucleotides) under Fibrobacter intestinalis. The record is from RNAcentral. Lineage: Bacteria; Pseudomonadati; Fibrobacterota; Fibrobacteria; Fibrobacterales; Fibrobacteraceae.